Molecule: unclassified non-coding RNA, 148 nt
Filed under: uncultured Helotiales
Lineage: Eukaryota; Fungi; Ascomycota; Leotiomycetes; Helotiales
Description: sequence contains ITS2
Source: RNAcentral
CAACACUCAAGCUCUGCUUGGUAUUGGACAGUACCGGUAACACGGUCGGUCUUAAAAUCAGUGGCGGCGCCACCUGGCUCUAAGCGUAGUAAAUACUCCUCGCUACAGAGUCCCGGUGGAUGCUUGCCAGCAACCCCCAACUUUCUAA